This is a long non-coding RNA of Cyprinus carpio (common carp), 551 nucleotides long. Lineage: Eukaryota; Metazoa; Chordata; Actinopteri; Cypriniformes; Cyprinidae. The record is from Ensembl.
UUUCUGCACCUCUACCAUCCCCAAAUCAAAACAAGAUGUCCAUGGAGAAUAGAGCUAUUUCAUCAAGCAAGUGAGAAUGAGGACCUGAAAGAGACCCUUGAAGAGGAGCUGAUCUGGGGCAGGGCGACCAUCAGCUCAGUGAAGCUGCAGCCGUGUGUGUUUGAGCUGUGCAAGUUUUACUCUCAAUGUGUGUGCAGAGGAUUCAGUCACAGAGCAGCAGAGUUACAGCGAUAUUGUGUGGAUAGCCAUCGCUGGUAUGAGAGACAUACAGCAGAGGUCUGCAGUCGUAUGAGGAGAGUCACUUUUUCCAAAAAUCUGAAACAGAAAUGUCUGGCAAGAAUGUGUGUGAAGAUGUAAGACAAGAACUGAGUUCAUUUGCGGGGUGACAGACAUCUGAACCACCUGAACUAAAAUUUAUGUACAGUAUGUUUGAGAGAAACUGGGUUCUGUUAAAUACUGAACUGCAUUGUCUUCAUUGAAUCUGUAUAGUCUAUGCAUCUAGUGUCUAAAUUGCACUUCUGAAUAUAAAUAAAACCAAACAUAUUUACCCA